This is a long non-coding RNA of Hemicordylus capensis (graceful crag lizard), 545 nucleotides long. RefSeq lists it as uncharacterized. Lineage: Eukaryota; Metazoa; Chordata; Lepidosauria; Squamata; Cordylidae. The record is from RefSeq and is a predicted model, not a curated record. The transcript is spliced from 2 exons.
CUUCCUGCAGCAACUCUUGAACAAAGAGCUCUUGAAUUGUCCCGCUGAUAUGCCACAGCAGUUCAGUGUACUUGGCCACUUGAAACCAGAUCAGACCUCCAAUGGGCAAGUGAGCCAGUUACUGUUUUCCGAGUAGCAGUAAUGACAAUGGAGGCGGAGGACGAUGGAUAGCAGCAGUGGCGACGGAAGGGGUGGACUAGAACAGCAGAAACUGCAUCAGAUAGGCACAGGCAGAAUGCAUCCCCAGAACGGCAGAGGGUCACUGUUUGGGAAAAGAACCCUGGAAACAACUGCUUUCACCACACCUCAAACACUGUAUCCUGCAAACGACUGAGCAUGGAAACAAAGGGCUCUUGAAGAAAAGGUUGCAGACGAAACACUAAUAUUCUAUAUAAAGCUUUUGAUUUCAAUGUCCACAAUUGUUUAAAAAAAUAGUUAUAAGGUUAGUGUAAUACAGAUUAACUGUUCACAGCUGAGAAAUCAGAUAAAAGAAAGAAGACUAUUUUGAAUCUUGGGUGAUAUAAUAAACUCUGAACCAAAGUCUU